RNAcentral lists this transfer RNA (103 nucleotides) under Gymnopus androsaceus JB14. Its description in RNAcentral is "tRNA-Met". It matches the Rfam family "tRNA". From Rfam's summary of the family: Transfer RNA (tRNA) molecules are approximately 80 nucleotides in length. Their secondary structure includes four short double-helical elements and three loops (D, anti-codon, and T loops). Further hydrogen bonds mediate the characteristic L-shaped molecular structure. tRNAs have two regions of fundamental functional importance: the anti-codon, which is responsible for specific mRNA codon recognition, and the 3' end, to which the tRNAs corresponding amino acid is attached (by aminoacyl-tRNA synthetases). tRNAs cope with the degeneracy of the genetic code in two manners: having more than one tRNA (with a specific anti-codon) for a particular amino acid; and 'wobble' base-pairing, i.e. permitting non-standard base-pairing at the 3rd anti-codon position. Lineage: Eukaryota; Fungi; Basidiomycota; Agaricomycetes; Agaricales; Omphalotaceae. The record is from RNAcentral.
GGUGCUGUGGGGUAACGGUUAACCUUAGGCUACAUACAUUAUCGACAAUUUCCACGUAUGCAUAUUGUGAGCCUAGUUGCGAGUUCGAAUCUCGCCAGCGCCA